UACGAAGGGGGCUAGCGUUGCUCGGAAUCACUGGGCGUAAAGCGCACGUAGGCGGACUCUUAAGUCGGUGGUGAAAUCCUGGAGCUCAACUCCAGAACUGCCUUCGAUACUGGGAGUCUCGAGUCCGAGAGAGGUGAGUGGAAUGCCGAGUGUAGAGGUGAAAUUCGUAGAUAUUCGGCGGAACACCAGUGGCGAAGGCGAACUCACUGGCCCGAUACUGAC
Molecule: ribosomal RNA, 222 nt
Filed under: uncultured bacterium
Lineage: Bacteria
Description: partial 16S ribosomal RNA
Rfam family: Bacterial small subunit ribosomal RNA
Source: RNAcentral